This 22-nucleotide non-coding RNA is filed under the name Arabidopsis thaliana (thale cress). The record is from RNAcentral. Lineage: Eukaryota; Viridiplantae; Streptophyta; Magnoliopsida; Brassicales; Brassicaceae.
UACAUUAUAUAACACAUUGUGU